AAACUUAAAGGAAUUGACGGGGACCCGCACAAGCAGCGGAGCGUGUGGUUUAAUUCGUUGCUACACGAAGAACCUUACCUGGGUUUGACAUAUAGGUUGUAGGGAACUGAAAGGGACCGACCCUUCGGGGAGCCUAUACAGGUGUUGCAUGGCUGUCGUCAGCUCGUGUCGUGAGAUGUUCGGUUAAGUCCGCUAACGAGCGCAACCCUCGUCGUAUGUUAUAUGUGUCAUACGAGACUGCCGGUAAAAAGCCGGAGGAAGGUGAGGAUGAUGUCAAGUCAGCAUGACCUUUAUAUCCAGGGCUACACACACGCUACAAUGGUCUGUACAAUGGGUAGCCAAGCCGCGAGGCGGAGCCAAUCCUGAAAGCAGGCCUCAGUCCAGAUUGCAGUCUGCAACUCGACUGCAUGAAGCCGGAGUUGCUAGUAACCGCAGGUCAGCAAUACUGCGGUGAAUAUGUUCCCGGGUCUU
Molecule: ribosomal RNA, 471 nt
Filed under: uncultured Anaerolineaceae bacterium
Lineage: Bacteria; Bacillati; Chloroflexota; Anaerolineae; Anaerolineales; Anaerolineaceae
Description: bacterial SSU rRNA
Rfam family: Bacterial small subunit ribosomal RNA
Source: RNAcentral